Molecule: non-coding RNA, 693 nt
Organism: Linepithema humile (Argentine ant)
Lineage: Eukaryota; Metazoa; Arthropoda; Insecta; Hymenoptera; Formicidae
Source: RefSeq, a predicted model, not a curated record
AUCCUGCUUGUUGUUGCCUUUGAACGUUCUUGAGUGACAGACGUCUCAUGACCUCGCGAUUUACUUAGGCAUGUAUGAUAAAGCGAGAAAUUUGGCUACAUCAAACUCUAUUCUUCUUAAAAAAAAAACAUCUACCAAAACUUAAUCAGUACUUAUACUAUUUCUUCAUAAUAAAAUAUUUAGAGGAUCAUAUAUUAUAACAAUGAUUCGGACAACACACGAAACGAUGAGUUUUAAAAUAAACUUGUUAUUCAUGCUUGUUACCUUCAGCACGCUUAGCAUGGUAUACCUGCGUCCAUCAAAAAGAUCCAAUUUAGAACCUCUUUCUUGUGUUAAUCAUAAGAAGGAUGGUGUAUGCUGCAAUGCGGAUGAUUGCGAACUGCAGUUGAGAUAUUGGUAUAAUACGAGUACGAAAGAAUGUGAACCUUUUUUUUACCGUGGUUGUGAAGGAAAUCGAAAUAAUUAUCAUACGUAUAAAAUAUGUACGCUAUAUUGUCAGGGAGAUCCAAUAUAGUAGAUGCACCUUUGAUAUAAAAUUUGAAAAAAGUUUUGGUUAAGAAUUUCCCAUAUAUUGAUAUAUAUUUAUAAUAGUUUAAAUUUGACUUUAAAUGGAAAUACUAAAUGAAAGAUUCUGUCAAGUUUUUAUAAAAUGCUUGUAAAAGUGUUCUAUUUUUACAAUAAAUGACUGUAAUA